This 201-nucleotide unclassified non-coding RNA is filed under the name uncultured fungus. RNAcentral's name for it is "sequence contains ITS1". Lineage: Eukaryota; Fungi. The record is from RNAcentral.
UUAACUAUUAUAUAGUACUCAGACGACACUAAUAAUCAGGAUAUUGGGUCCUCUGGCGGGCGCUUACCAGCCGAAGCCGAUAGCCUGACCGGAGCCUGGCGGCCCGCCAAAGCAACAAAGGUAAUAAUAACAUAGGGUGGGAGAUCUACCCGUAAGGGCAUGAGCUCGGUAAUGAUCCCUCCGCAGGUUCACCUACGGAGA